Molecule: ribosomal RNA, 301 nt
Filed under: uncultured bacterium
Lineage: Bacteria
Description: partial 16S ribosomal RNA
Rfam family: Bacterial small subunit ribosomal RNA
Source: RNAcentral
CAGUAGCCGCGGUAAUACAGAGGGUGCGAGCGUUAAUCGGAUUUACUGGGCGUAAAGCGUGCGUAGGCGGCUUCUUAAGUCGGAUGUGAAAUCCCUGAGCUUAACUUAGGAAUUGCAUUCGAUACUGGGAAGCUAGAGUAUGGGAGAGGAUGGUAGAAUUCCAGGUGUAGCGGUGAAAUGCGUAGAGAUCUGGAGGAAUACCGAUGGCGAAGGCAGCCAUCUGGCCUAAUACUGACGCUGAGGUACGAAAGCAUGGGGAGCAAACAGGAUUAGAUACCCCCGUAGUCCCUGUCCUUAUACA